This 335-nucleotide non-coding RNA is filed under the name Gossypium hirsutum (cotton). RNAcentral describes it as "Bacterial small subunit ribosomal RNA". It matches the Rfam family "Bacterial small subunit ribosomal RNA", at positions 137 to 542 of the family's 1533-position model. The record is from Rfam by way of RNAcentral. Lineage: Eukaryota; Viridiplantae; Streptophyta; Magnoliopsida; Malvales; Malvaceae.
AAUGUAAGAGAUAUAUAAAUAUAUGCUGAUACCAUGUAGGUUGAGGAGUAAAAGGAGGAAUCCGGUCACGUCUAAUUAGCUAGUUGUUGAGGCAAUAAUUUACUAAGGCGAUGAUCAACCACAUAAGGACUAAGACACAACUCAGACUUCUAUGGGAGAUAGUAGUGAAGAAUUUUCCUAACGGGCGAAAGCUUGACGAAGCAAUGUCGCGUAGAGGUAGAAGACCCAUGGGUUGCGAACUUCUAUUCCCAAAGAAAAAGUAAUGACAAUAUUUGAGGAAUAAACAUCAAUUAACUUUAUGCCAGUAGUCACGAUAAUCAGAAGAUGCAAACAUU